CCUACGGGUGACUGCAGUGAGGAAUAUUGGUCAAUGGACGGAAGUCUGAACCAGCCAUGCCGCGUGCAGGAAGACGGCUCUAUGAGUUGUAAACUUCUUUUGUACAAGGGUAAACCUGAAUACGUGUAUUCAUCUGAAAGUACUUUACGAAUAAGGAUCGGCUAACUCCGUGCCAGCAGCCGCGGUAAUACAUAGGGUGCAAGCGUUGUCCGGAAUGACUGGGUGUAAAGGGUGUGUAGGUGGCUUAUUAAGUUAGUGGUGAAAGCCUGAGGCUCAACUUCGAAACUGCCUUUAAAACUGGUUGGCUUGAGUGUGGGAGAGGUUAGUGGAACUCCUGGUGUAGCGGUGGAAUGCGUAGAUAUUAGGAAGAACAUCAAUGGCGAAGGCGACCAACUGGACCGUUACUGACACUGAAGCACGAAAGCGUGGGGAGCAAACAGGAUUAGAUACCCGAGUAGUC
Molecule: ribosomal RNA, 460 nt
Filed under: uncultured bacterium
Lineage: Bacteria
Description: partial 16S ribosomal RNA
Rfam family: Bacterial small subunit ribosomal RNA
Source: RNAcentral